CCCAUCAUAUAUAUAUACACGAUUUUAUAAAAGAAAAAGAGGAAAGAAAAUUAUUUUUACCUCAACAAAAAAGUUGACAAGCAUUCCCAAGUAAAGAAGAACAAUUUGUCUUCCAAACAUUCCAUCAAUCAAAGCUUGGAUUAAGAAGGAAAAUGAAGGUUUGUUUUCAUUAGUCAAAACACCAACACCCUUGUGUUGUUUGUU
This 204-nucleotide long non-coding RNA is filed under the name Cicer arietinum (chickpea). RNAcentral describes it as "long non-coding RNA (CARI_LNC000225)". Lineage: Eukaryota; Viridiplantae; Streptophyta; Magnoliopsida; Fabales; Fabaceae. The record is from RNAcentral.